GACGAACGCUGGCGGCGUGCUUAACACAUGCAAGUCGAACGGACAGGCCCCUUUGGGGGUACUCGAGUGGCGAACGGGUGCGUAACACGUGCGUAACCUGCCCUUGACUUCGGGAUAACUUCAGGAAACUGGGGCUAAUACCGGGUAGGAAUCCUUGCUGCAUGGUGGGUGUUGGAAAGCUUCGGCGGGUUUGGAUGGACUUGCGGCUUAUCAGCUUGUUGGUGGGGUAGUGGUUUACCAAGGCUUUGACGGGAAGCCGGCCUGGGGGGGCGGCCGGCCACAGUGGGACUGGGAGACGGCCCAGACUCCGACGGGAGGCAGCAGGGGGGAAGAUUGCACAAUGGGCGGAAGCCUGAUGCAGAAACGCCGCGGGCGGGAGGACGGCCUUCGGGUUGUAAACCGCAUUCAGCAGGGGCGAAGCUUGUGGUGACGGUACCUGCAGAAGAAGCACCGGCUAACUACGUG
RNAcentral lists this ribosomal RNA (465 nucleotides) under uncultured bacterium. RNAcentral's name for it is "partial 16S ribosomal RNA". It matches the Rfam family "Bacterial small subunit ribosomal RNA", at positions 28 to 507 of the family's 1533-position model. The record is from RNAcentral.